This 7791-nucleotide long non-coding RNA is filed under the name Haliotis rufescens (red abalone). RNAcentral describes it as "uncharacterized LOC125381010". The record is from RNAcentral. Lineage: Eukaryota; Metazoa; Mollusca; Gastropoda; Lepetellida; Haliotidae.
ACUAAGGUACAGGCGAGUAUCUAGAGGGAGGAAGGAAGAACGGCACACUUCCUUUGACUUGUACAUAUGCCAUUGCGAUUAAAACUACGUAAUCCUCAAACCGCCUUCUUGUGUUGUGUUACAAGAAGGGGCGGGGUUACGUAAACUUGUGCCGAGACCAGGAUCGCCUUAAGGAGCGAAGGAGAGGGACCCCAGGAAACGACUAGGAUCGAGGGAAUUGGUCCCGGGACUCGCAAAAAGGUGAUUCUUUGGGUUUUUGCAAGUACUUACGUGAGCAAAAUGGCAGAAUAUGCACAAUUCUUACAAGGGUUAGCGGGAGAAAUAACGAUGCAGUUAUCAGCAGUAACUUCAACAUUAGGGGCACAGGGAAAUGAAAUAAACGGGAGGCUAGCUGUUGUAAAUACAACGCUAAGCGCACAGGGGGUGAAUCAAGCUAUAAAAACAUUUGGGGGGAACCCGAAAGAUUUAAAAAAAUGGACCAAAUUUGUGUAGUAUCAAAAUAGGAAAAAAAAAAACAAUGGAGGUGUUUAAUUGAUUCUGGGGCUGAAGUGUUGAUAAUGCAUCGUAGGGUGUACGAUUCAAUAAAAGAUAGAUUUCCGUUAAACAAAAAGAAAGUCGCUUUACAAGGGGUCAAUGGGAAUUCGUUACAGGUAGAUGGGAAUGUGAAAGUUCACUUUAGGAUGAGAGGCGUCAAUUUUCCCAUACCUUCUAUGUUGUAGAAAACAUGAACAGAAAUCUUAUAUUAGGACACGAUUGGUUGACACAGGCAGGUGUCAGGGUGUAUUUCGACUUGGGUAGCUUAAGAGUAGGGAAUACUUAUGUACCGCUAGAGGAAGAUAUCCAUAUAUCUUCUCUAGUCAGGUUAGCAGCGGAUACAAUAGUAAAACCUCAGUGUAGAAAUAUCUUAAGGGCAAAGGUUAAAAAUAGACCAUAUUUUGACACAUUAAGCACGUAUGAAAUCUCAGCAAUUGAAAAGAGUUACCCAGCAAAUGAACCAGGUCUACUCAUAGGAAAUUCUAUUGUUAAGAUUGAUAAACAUAGGAAUGUACCAUUACUGUUAGUCAACAAUACCAACCGUACAUUUAGGUUGAAGAGAGGUUGCGUACUAGAGGAGCUCAUAAGCGUAGCGACUGAAAACUUAAUGAAUUUAUCUGAUGAAUUAGCUGAUAGGGACAUAUCCAGUGAUCUCAAUAAUGACAUUGACGCUCCAGUUCAUUUGAAAUCAAGGUUAACUGAUUUAGUGUCUCAAAACAAGGAUUCAAGUUCAGAAGAACCGACAAACAAUUAAUACAGUAAUUGAUAAUCUAUAGGAAGUAGAGGUUAAUGUAGCAAACAUCUCCCGAACUCUUGCGGGGCGUAUAGAUAAACUUGAAUGGGCCACUAACACUUAUCUCAAGAUAGAUUUAGUAAUUGAAGACCUAAGACAAACAAUACAAACAUUGAUGUCUUAUAUCAAUCACCUCCAAUUACAAUUUAAUGCUCUAUCACUCGGACACUUGUCGCCAGGCACUGUCACUCCAAGUGAAUUAUUAGUAUUAUUACGUGAAAUAAAUAUUCAUUUACCAAGUGGCUAUAAACUGGCAAAAGAUCCAGAAAAGGAAUUAUGGAAUUAUUAUCGAACAUUAACAUGCUCGACCUUAGUUUAAGAGGAAAAGAUUUUGAUAAUAAUGUAACAGUGCUAAAAUUGUUAUAUUUUAUUCUACUGUUUGUCAAAUUCGCCUUCAAUUCAUAAGUUGUCGGUUAACCAUUUAAGACCUGUCGGUACAUACUAGCGAUAAGAAAUUGUAUAACAACAUCUGGCACUUCAGAUUUACGCCGCCUGAAACAGGUCGGUGGGCGAGACUUUAAUUACAUGUUGAAUAACAACUGGUAGUGGUCAGCGCGUUUGGCACUUACCAGUGUACCGUUAUCAGCUAUUUAGCAUCAACUGACCAAACUAGAAAAUUGAAAACGCGAAACCAAACACGAGCUGAGUGAUUCUAUCGGCAUUUAUAAUCUUCUAUUACUCAACUUUCCAAACUGACCAUCUGCUUUGGCUAUUAACAGAACAAACCCAUCAUACAAAAUUGUAUAACAUGUCCAGUCUUUAUUAGUCCAAAGUCUCAAAUUUCAAACUGGACAUACACGUGUAGACUUGCUUCUAGAUUAACAAAGGAGGUUUCAGGUAUAAAUAUAGGGGGAAAUCGACUGUUAGUCAUUCCUGCUUUGCCUGAGAACCUCUCUCUGUUUGUCUUUGAAGGUGUGUUGAUCCCGUGGCUAAUUCCCCGAAAGUCAUUCUAGGUUUUGAUCAGUUUUAGUGUAAAAACUAACGCUGUUUCAAUUGGUGGAGCUUAAAUCCAAGAUGUCCGGUGCCACACCUCAGAACUACAGGGAGAAGCUUCGAAGGCCCGAGCCAAGGUCGACCCUGACCAGUUGCUUAAGCAGGUUUCAUCUCUACCAUCCUCACCGUCACUGACAACACCAUCAGCACCAAGCCAAAGGUCAUCAGUGGUUGUGACAAGAGCAGCAUCCUCCUCAUCACCAUCAUCACCACCACCAUCAAGCUCAUCCUCCUCUGCUGAAGCUGAUUGGAGUGAAAUGGCAGCUCCACAUGUCAAACUCCGUCCGUUCACUGGGCAAGAAGAGGCAACGUCCUGGUGGCAGGAUUUCCAAGAUUAAACCUCACAUUGCCUGCAUACAUCCCAACAAUAGACUCCCAGAUCAUGUCCAAGACCAAAGAUGUCAUCCUCCGGUUCCAAGCAAUGAUGUUGACACACAUCCCAGACACACAGAUGGUCUAGUCACAGCCAUAUAUCUCUGAUCAAGGCAGUUCACCAUCUACAUCUCAGUCAGGUACCGGCUUCUCACAGCAGCCAGCACCACAUCUCAAGAUGACCAAACAUAUCCUGUUGACAAGAUUCUCGAAUGCAAAGUUGUCAAUGGCACAAAACACUAUCACAUCAAAUGGUUAGGUUACUCUAAAACCACUUGGGAACCAUUCUGCAAUCUCAGUCAGGACCUAAUCCAACACUUCCAUAGAUCUAGCACCAUGUCCGGUAAAAGGCGCUAAAAAUGGGCGAAAAUACUUUAAAUAAUAUACCAAGGUUACACCAGCUCCCACCUAUCUUUGAGAAGUUUCUAACUGUUGCCUUAGAUGUUGAAUGACCACCCCUUCUUACAGUUACGUCGUUUCUGUGUCUCAUAGUGCUAGGUUGUUCAGAUGUUGCUAGCCAGAACAUUGUGCUCAACCAGGUCAUCACAUCUAAUUGUCCCAUGUUCUCUUUCGUUUCUCUAAGGUUCAUCAUGGAGUCUGAUUAUCCUGUGGCUACUCUCGUUUAGCGCCCCUUCUGUCCUCGCUUCCGGUCCAGUUCAACGUCUUAACUAUGGGGUUGUGUUUCAACCGUCAUCUCAAAUCAAUUUUGCCACAGAUUACUGGAUACACACACACGAGGUGAAGCUUCCACAUGUACCGGGCAUCCCAACCAUGAGUGGAUGUCUACACAGUAACAGAACCUGUGUCCUACUUCACCAAAUUCAAAUGCAUCUAAAUGUAAUUAAAACUAGAUGCGUUGCCCAGCUAAAUGAAACUAGACAACAAAUUAUUAAGCUAAUUCCAGCAUAAAAAAUACCUUCAUCAUCUAGAUCUAAACGCGCUAUUCUUAGUUUUGUCGGGUCUCUCUCUAAAACAUUGUUUGGUACUGCUACUACCAGUGAUGUAAACCUUCUCGCCAAACAUAUUAAUGCUCUCACAAGACAUGAUAUAAACCUUGCAAACACCAUCCAACAACACUCUGCCCAUCUCUCCUCGUUUAUGAAGCUUGUCGACUCUAGAUUUAAGAAUGCACUUAAAGGUGUCAAAGCUAAUCAUGAUGCAAUUACAUUUACAGCUAUUGCCAUGGAAAACAAUGUCAAAACAAUCCAGUCUACAUUUACUGCUCUCACCGGCCUUUUGAUUGAUCAAAUCCAACAUGCUUCCAUUAUAGAACACCAGUUGGAAGAAUUAAAGUUAGGAAUCUUAGACUUAGCCAAAAAUAAGUUAUCACCAUUGUUGGUAGCACCUGAAAUUUUAGAACAAACAAAUCAUCACCUGUCCGCAGUUUUAUCUGAUAAAUAUCCAAAUUUUCAACUAUUGCACACCACCCCUACAUUUUAUUAUUCCCAUGCUAUAUUUAUCUUUGCCCGUACUAAGUCCCAUAUCUACAUCUCAGUUAAAUUUCCACUCUCUUCAUUGGCUAAACCCCUUCAAAUGUAUAAAGUUAUCUCUUUACCUUUGCCAAUCAAUAGCACCUCCCCACAUUCUACUUGAGGUCAAAUCAGUCUUCCUCCAAGUUCCUGGCUUGAUACGAAUGCUAUUCUAGCCGUGAGCGCCUCAAUUGCAUCAGCUGUGUCUAUAAUUUUGGUUGUUUGAAUGUUUUUCAAAAUUCGAACUCUAUCAACAGCACUCAUGUUAGUCACUCGCGUUGUCCCGACCAAAGCAGUGCAACCACCAGCUCUUAAUUAUAAUGAUCAUGCCACUGCUAGUACUCCACCCACGGACUUUGUCAUCACAGAUCUUGCUGACUACCAUGUCUCAAUCCUUCUCGGUUUUAUCACACUUUUAAUUGCCUCCAUCUUGCUUAUACUCAUCUUUCAGUGCCAUUCAGGACUUCAAAAUGGCCUUGUUUUAGAACUUACUACAGGUCCUGAAUGUGUCACUGUCCCUAUUUUGUCUUUGACUCUAUGCCCUGCCUACUGGGACAUCCAGGCCCCAUACACAGUAGACAACCUUUGUGUUUCGGGAUACAUUUUUCCCACUCUGUCAGUUGAUUGGACAGGCUUUAUGGUAACAAAUAAACUUACCAGCACAUCCCUUACCGUUCCCUCAACCAUUCAGAUAUCAUUCUUUACAGCUCAAAAGCUGCAGCGACUCUUUAAACAGCCAUUCACUGCCUAUGUCCUUCUAGUUCAUAAUGGAUAUUAUAAGGUAGUGGACCCGACAUCACUUCUACCUCAAUUUUAGUUGUUGCAAUGUGUAUUUCUAUACUUAUUGAAUGUACAUAUGAGAUUUGGGCAUUCUGAACAGUACGUAUCAUUGUUGUCAUGUGCUUAGAUGUGAUCAUAUCUUAUGCUUGUACACUUCGACUCUAAUUACCAUUAUUUUACCUGAUGUUACUUCAAGCUUUUGAGGUCAAAAGCUCCACGACGCCCAGGGAUAUUGUAACAGUGCUAAAAUUGUUAUAUUUUAUUCAACUUUUUGUCAAAUUCGCCUUCAAUUCAUAAGUUGUCGGUUAACCAUUUAAGACCUGUCGGUACAUACUAGCGAUAAGAAAUUGUAUAACAACAUCUGGCACUUCAGAUUUACGCUGCCUGAAACAGGUCGGUGGGCGAGACUUUAAUUACAUGUUGAAUAACAACUGGUAGUGGUCAGCGCGUUUGGCACUUACCAGUGUACCGUUAUCAGCUAUUUAGCGUCAACUGACCAAACUAGAAAAUUGAAAACGCGAAACCAAACACGAGCUGAGUGAUUCUAUCGGCAUUUAUAAUCUUCUAUUACUCAACUUUCCAAACUGACCAUCUGCUUUGGCUAUUAACAGAACAAACCCAUCAUACAAAAUUGUAUAACAUGUCCAGUCUUUAUUAGUCCAAAGUCUCAAAUUUCAAACUGGACAUGCACGUGUAGACCUGCCUUCAGAUUAACAAAGGAGGUCUCAGGUAUAAAUAUAGGGGGAAAUCUAGACUAACAUAUAGUCUCUGAAAUGAACAUAUCGUACAGAAAAAAACAGUUGUUCAGUUAUCUUACUAAAAAUCUAAUAAAAAGGGAGCCCAGUGAUUCUCUUCAUUUUCAGAUACUGCAGUAAUCUAGACUUGCCAAACAUUAUAGACUUGCAUGGGCUGUAGUUGAUAUAAAUGUAUCAGGGUCUGUAAGACAGACUAGGGGAAAUCGACUGUUAGUCAUUCCUUCCCAGCUACCUCAUAUGCCAAACGUUUCCGAUAUGCUGUUAUGGAAACCCUUUCAGGAAAAAUUUAGAAAUGUGACGAUAUCGAAAGUUCCAAACCACCUCCAGAAUAUAGAUACAGUAUCCAUGAGUCAUUUAAUUGAUGAAUUACAUAGUGUUAAUACUGAAAUUAGUUGGGAAAAGAAAAUUAACUGGAAAUGGUGGUUAGUUGGGGGUAUCAUGUUACUAGUCAUAAUAUUAUUGAUAAUGGUUUUAAGAUAUAGAAACUUUUGGCUAUCCAAAAUGCUCACUUGGGGAAAGCACACCUGGGAAACACCCGAAUUCGAGUUGGUGGGAUCUGAUGUGAUCCAGGUCGCGAGUACCGACUCCAGGAGCGGCUUAGCUUCUGCACCACUGAUGACGGGGGAUCAGACUUCGGCGCCGACAACGACGUCAUCAAUACGACGCCUGUACCCUGGCCUGGAUGCCCACUACUAAACAGUACAGUGUUGCGGUAUGUUGCUGCAUGAACUAAGAUGAACAGGCUGGUGACGAAGAUGGACGGCGGCCAUAUUGGAACUUGUGGUGACGACCAUAAAGUUGAACUAAGUUGAAAAGAAGAACACAACGCAGAACUGACAAUCACAGAUGACCAUAAUGGUGUGUCUGUAGCCGGUCGAGGGCCAAGAUUGUGAUUAAGUGACAUUUUAAAAGCGAUUAAGUCCGGUCACGGACAGCAUGAUCGUUGUAAAAUAUUUACACUCUAUUUUGUAUAUGUAUAUAUGGAACUGUGUAUAUUUUUAAGAUCGACUUAUGAGGCCUGGAAAUAUCAACAAUAUUUCCAAGUAGAAAGGGGCGGAUGUAACACUAUCAGUGUUUGCCAGAUACGACUGACACCGUGGAUAUGUCAAGUACAUAUCAAGUGGACCAGUGAGUGGUGGUUUCAUGUCACCUUAAGGGGAACAAUUUUAAGUGCCUCGUCAUGGACACCACUUGAUGGUCAAUUUAAUCUCAAGUUGACCACACCAAAUUUUAGUACCUGUGCAAAACAAAAUGCUUCGCAUUCCAUCAUUACUAUAUAUACCGGGCGACUUCCAAAUACCGUUAGACUUGGUCUCAGCACCCUAAGGUACAGGCGAGUAUCUAGAGGGAGGAAGGAAGGACGGCACACUUCCUUUGACUUGUACAUAUUCCAUUGUGAUUAAAACUACGUAAUCCUCAAACCGCCUUCUUGUGUUGUGUUACAUGUAUCGGCUUUAAGAAUUUUUACCCACCUCAACCCUACACUGUGAUAUACCACCAUAAAUGGUCUUAUUGAAAUAACCGUCCCCCCCCUUAUGGUAACCCAUGUUUAAGUUACAGUACCCUGUUUAGAGUCAAUACGUUAGUAUGUACUCUGAAAAUAAUGUUUACCCCAUCCGACAUCCGACUGUAUGAAUGGACGAGACACGCGUUGUACUGAUUGACCUGAAUGAAAGGACAACGAAUAAACGAACACUGCCUAAAUGAUCAUCAGGAACAAUUUAAAAUUACAUAUUUAAAGACGAUGAAAAGAAGAAGAAUGUACUCGAAGUUUACUACGCUCAUCAAUGAAAACCUACAUGCCGUAGAAUAUAGCACUCGAACAGAGUUGUGGCGAUAUGUACUCGAAUAAAAAUACUUUCAUUUAAUGAUAGCAGAAAUUGCUUGAACGGUUACGCGAAAGCCGAAGGUCCUAAGGAGUGGAUAACAACACUUUUAAAAUAUCACACUGAUACGCUACAUGAGGAUGGUGGUGGUGUCGAUAUAAGAGUAUGUCAUACGUUGAAAUAUGCUGUGUUUUAUGGUUGAACAGUCAUUUGUUUCUGAUUCUCUGUGAACGAGUGUUUACAUGAAUAAAAUACGCUGUUUAUCACUC